UGGACCUGCAGCAAGUACUCCCUCCUGGCCUUCUCCACCAUGCCUCGCAUCAGCUCGACAGACCCCUGAGCGGCUUCAAGGUCACUGUGCAGCGACUCAUUGUCGUGCUCAAGUUCCUUCACCCUUUUCUCCAGGGCUUUCUGCUUGCGAUGCUGGGUGGAGAACUCCAGCGAGAGCACCACCUGCUUGGCAAGGUGUGCGUCU
Molecule: long non-coding RNA, 204 nt
Filed under: Phaseolus vulgaris (common bean)
Lineage: Eukaryota; Viridiplantae; Streptophyta; Magnoliopsida; Fabales; Fabaceae
Description: long non-coding RNA (PVUL_LNC001720)
Source: RNAcentral